RNAcentral lists this transfer RNA (40 nucleotides) under Mesoptychia collaris. Its description in RNAcentral is "partial tRNA-Phe". Lineage: Eukaryota; Viridiplantae; Streptophyta; Jungermanniopsida; Jungermanniales; Jungermanniaceae. The record is from RNAcentral.
UGCCGGAAUAGCUCAGUUGGUAGAGCAGAGGACUGAUAAA